AUGUCACUUGGCGGUGGCGCCAUCGAGCCUGGGUACUGCAGCUACACAAUUAUGUUGGCCCGCAUGGGUAGUACGGCCCCAUGUUUAAAACUCAAAAGAAUUUGCGGGGGCCCCGCACACGCGGUGGAGUAUAUGGAUUAAUUUCGAUGCAACCAAGAAUAGCCUAGCCCUCACCUCGACAUGUCAUGAAUUUAAGAAGAAAUUUGGCAGUCCUCGCAAAGAAAACCGGCAACACAGGUGCUGCAUUGCUGGCCUCAGCUCGUGUCGUGAUAUGUUGGGUUAAAUCCGGCAACGAGAGCAACCCUUGUCAUUAGUUGCUACGAAAGGGCACUCUAAAGAGACUCAUGGUGACAAACCGGAGGAAGGUGGGGAUGGGUUCAAGUCCUCAUGGCCCUUAGGACCUGAUAUCCCUUGUCAAGCAAUGGUCGGGACAGAGGGUGGAUUAAAAUCUUGGGGGGAGAAUUAAAAAGAAAGCCGGUCUUAAUCCGGAUUGCAGUCGGCAAGUCGAAUGCGUGAAGUCGGAAUCGGUAGUAAUCGCGGAUCAGCACGCCGCGGUGAAAACGUUUCCGGGCCUAGCACGCGCCGCCCGUCACCCCCAGGGAGAGGGCCGUACUUGAAGUAGUUAGCCUAACCGCAACCGGGCAGAUGACCACGGCAUGGCCUUCUACCGCGGUGAAGUCGUAUACA
RNAcentral lists this ribosomal RNA (687 nucleotides) under Achromobacter sp. SB79. RNAcentral's name for it is "bacterial SSU rRNA". It matches the Rfam family "Bacterial small subunit ribosomal RNA", at positions 874 to 1493 of the family's 1533-position model. The record is from RNAcentral. Lineage: Bacteria; Pseudomonadati; Pseudomonadota; Betaproteobacteria; Burkholderiales; Alcaligenaceae.